RNAcentral lists this transfer RNA (85 nucleotides) under Madurella mycetomatis. It matches the Rfam family "tRNA". Rfam says of the family: Transfer RNA (tRNA) molecules are approximately 80 nucleotides in length. Their secondary structure includes four short double-helical elements and three loops (D, anti-codon, and T loops). The record is from Rfam by way of RNAcentral. Lineage: Eukaryota; Fungi; Ascomycota; Sordariomycetes; Sordariales.
GCCCGCAUGGCCUAAUGGCUAUGGCGUCCCACUCGUAUUACUAGAGUUCAUGGGGAGAUUCCCGGUUCGAUUCCGGGUGUGGGCA